This 1000-nucleotide long non-coding RNA is filed under the name Sus scrofa (pig). RNAcentral's name for it is "lncRNA (ENSSSCG00005003478.1, ENSSSCG00045025022.1)". The record is from RNAcentral. Lineage: Eukaryota; Metazoa; Chordata; Mammalia; Artiodactyla; Suidae.
GUUUCUUUAAGAGGUCCUCUUUUCCUCCCUGGAUUCUCCGUAGGUCUGGUUUCUUGAAUUGACAGAAUGUGCAAAUCAGUCCAAGACAGUCUUAUUUUGUUUUCUACAUGGUGAUUUUCUCUGUAUGGUAAAGUCUGACUUUUUUUUCUUUUUUUUUCCUAUUUUAAGCAGGCUAAUGAUUUUACGAACAGUGUGAAAUGGAAUGAUGACCCUCUCGCACUUGGACGAGGCUCUGCAAAUUGGGCACUGAAUGAGAAACUCUGAAGCUUGCUCUGCAGCCUCCCUCGCUGACGCCACAUUCCAUUGUGUUCCUCAGCCGUGGACAGAGCUGCUGGCGACACCUCUCCUCUUUGGAACGCCAUCACCCGUGGACUCGGGGCCACCGUGAGCUGUCCAUCCCUCAGCCUCCGAGUCACACCUUCAAACGCAGCUGUGUCUGCACCGUCCCAGCUCCAGACCUCUGGAGGGUCUCUCAGCGCAAAGUCCUUUCGUUUGCUUUAUGGGGGUAGUAAAUCAUUCCACACACCAUGCAGCAGAGGGAAAGCCAGAUUUAUUAGACCUACCUCUUGGUUCUUUCAGAGGAAUCCCCAUGUUUACAAGUUGAAAUCCAAAAUGCACAAAUGGUCAGCUCACAAUUCUUUGACCCGUGAACAUCUGUGGGCCUGGGUGUUCCCUGGGAAUCGGCAGUGCCGGAGCUGUGAGCCAAGCCUGCCCUAGGCAGAAAGGAAUUCUCAAGAAGUGCAACAGUCGGUGAGUGGGGAAGCCGGCUAGUGAUCAGGGCCUGGUUAUCCUCUAGCCUGGUUUUCCAGGGGCAUGUCUGCACUCAACUUCAACUCGUUUUAUGAACUGCAUUUGACUUUAUUUUUUGAGAUGGGUCCAUUGGAAAUGCUUCACAGGACAUAGGACAUGAAUCUUCAUUUUGCCUUUAAGAAAAAUAAAACUAUAAUCUGAGAUGGGCAAAUGUGGUUCAAGUCUGUUUACUCGGAAACAAGAAGCUCUC